This 1343-nucleotide ribosomal RNA is filed under the name uncultured bacterium. RNAcentral describes it as "16S ribosomal RNA". It matches the Rfam family "Bacterial small subunit ribosomal RNA", at positions 28 to 1381 of the family's 1533-position model. The record is from RNAcentral.
GACGAACGCUGGCGGCGUGCUUAACACAUGCAAGUCGAACGGUAAGGCUCCAGCUUGCUGGGGUACACGAGUGGCGAACGGGUGAGUAACACGUGGGUGACCUGCCCUGCACUUCGGGAUAAGCCUGGGAAACUGGGUCUAAUACCGGAUAGGACCGCACCGUGAGGGUGUGGUGGAAAGUUUUUUCGGUGUGGGAUGGGCCCGCGGCCUAUCAGCUUGUUGGUGGGGUAAUGGCCUACCAAGGCGGCGACGGGUAGCCGGCCUGAGAGGGUGGACGGCCACAUUGGGACUGAGACACGGCCCAGACUCCUACGGGAGGCAGCAGUGGGGAAUAUUGCACAAUGGGCGGAAGCCUGAUGCAGCGACGCCGCGUGGGGGAUGACGGCCUUCGGGUUGUAAACUCCUUUCACCAUCGACGAAGGGUUUCUGACGGUAGAUGGAGAAGAAGCACCGGCUAACUACGUGCCAGCAGCCGCGGUAAUACGUAGGGUGCGAGCGCUGUCCGGAAUUACUGGGCGUAAAGAGCUCGUAGGUGGUUUGUCGCGUCGUCUGUGAAAUUCCGGGGCUUAACUCCGGGCGUGCAGGCGAUACGGGCAUAACUUGAGUACUGUAGGGGAGACUGGAAUUCCUGGUGUAGCGGUGAAAUGCGCAGAUAUCAGGAGGAACACCGGUGGGCGAAGGCGGGUCUCUGGGGCAGUAACUGACGCUGAGGAGCGAAAGCAUGGGGAGCGAACAGGAUUAGAUACCCUGGUAGUCCAUGCCGUAAACGGUGGGCGCUAGGUGUGGGUUUCCUUCCACGGGAUCCGUGCCGUAGCUAACGCAUUAAGCGCCCCGCCUGGGGAGUACGGCCGCAAGGCUAAAACUCAAAGGAAUUGACGGGGGCCCGCACAAGCGGCGGAGCAUGUGGAUUAAUUCGAUGCAACGCGAAGAACCUUACCUGGGCUUGACAUAUACAGGAUCGCGCCAGAGAUGGUGUUUCCCUUGUGGCUUGUAUACAGGUGGUGCAUGGUUGUCGUCAGCUCGUGUCGUGAGAUGUUGGGUUAAGUCCCGCAACGAGCGCAACCCUUGUCUUAUGUUGCCAGCACGUUGUGGUGGGGACUCGUAAGAAACUGCCGGGGUUAACUCGGAGGAAGGUGGGGAUGACGUCAAAUCAUCAUGCCCCUUAUGUCCAGGGCUUCACACAUGCUACAAUGGUCGGUACAGUGGGUUGCCAGUCCGUGAGGGCGAGCUAAUCCCGCAAAGCCGGUCUCAGUUCGGAUCGGGGUCUGCAACUCGACCCCGUGAAGUCGGAGUCGCUAGUAAUCGCAGAUCAGCAACGCUGCGGUGAAUACGUUCCCGGGCCU